GCCACAUAACACCUGGUCCCGUACGAUCACCGAAGUUAAGCAACGGCGAGCCCGGUCAGGACCUAAAUGGGUGACCAUUUGGAAAUACUAGGUGCUGUAA
This 100-nucleotide ribosomal RNA is filed under the name Acanthosepion pharaonis. The record is from RNAcentral. Lineage: Eukaryota; Metazoa; Mollusca; Cephalopoda; Sepiida; Sepiidae.